Anoplophora glabripennis (Asian longhorned beetle) is the source of this 878-nucleotide long non-coding RNA. RefSeq lists it as uncharacterized. The transcript has 4 exons. The record is from RefSeq and is a predicted model, not a curated record. NCBI's taxonomy places the organism in Eukaryota, Metazoa, Arthropoda, Insecta, Coleoptera, Cerambycidae.
GAGGAAGCAAGGAAGCAAAGGCGACGCUAGAUCGGGAAGGGGGAAUAAAGGAUUCUCUAAGGAGCCUUCAGAUUACAGAACUCCAAGGACUGGCACAUAACGUUCCUUAAACGUUGGAAGCGUGUAGGAACGCGCAACAUCCAGUAGUGCGCGGGAAAACAGGGCGUGAGACGCGAUCGAUCGAGCAUCAGGGGUCCGUUCAACGCUGAAUCCCCUCCCAUCAUCUAUCCCGACGGUGUCUCAACCUCAGCUUGCUGUCACAAGGCUCGCCAUCGUCCUCUGUCAACAAGAUGCGCGAUUGUUAAAAAGUGCAACUUUUACCAGUGACUUCAGACAAAUCCUUCUCACCUGAACACGCACGGCCACUCAGGUUCUUACACAGUACAGUAUCAACUAGACACCGAAUUUACUUUUGCUCUAGUCAAAACAGAUAAUGAUGACUACAUGAAUGAAGUGAAUGUAGAUGAACACAAAGGAAGACCACAAGAGCAUGAUGAUCCAUGGAUAUUGUACUUGAAUUGACAACAAAUGGACCAGGGAUAAAUUACUAAGCAGUUAAAAUGGUAAUAUUUCAAGGAUUAUAACGUCGCUUCACGUUAAUGCUCUACAUCUACCCUGUAGAUCCGAAUUUGUUUGAUAAUGGGCGACAAAUUCGGUUCUAGAGAGGUUUGUGUGGUGCAUACAAAGCAACGUGACAAGGUGUUUUAAUGUGGUCUUACAAAAUAUGGCAACAACCUUAAUGAAACAAGAAUUUCGGCAAGAACAUUCUAUGGAAACAAAAUCGCACGGCAGCUGCAACUUUUAUUUACACUUAUUAAUGACAUUAGUUAAGCUAAGUAUAGGAUAUUAAUUGUACUGCUAAUAGUAAUAUUAAAACU